Molecule: transfer RNA, 73 nt
Filed under: Camelus bactrianus (Bactrian camel)
Lineage: Eukaryota; Metazoa; Chordata; Mammalia; Artiodactyla; Camelidae
Also listed under: 2 other names
Rfam family: tRNA
About the family: Transfer RNA (tRNA) molecules are approximately 80 nucleotides in length. Their secondary structure includes four short double-helical elements and three loops (D, anti-codon, and T loops).
Source: Rfam by way of RNAcentral
AAGGGUAUAGUACAGUGGUUAGAGUGUGUGCUUAGCAUGCACAAGGUCCUGGGUUCAAUCCCCAGUACCUCCA